UAUGUGAUCGUCUCUCGCAUAUCAAUAAGCGGAGGAAAAGAAACUAACAAGGAUUCCCCUAGUAACGGCGAGUGAAGCGGGAAGAGCUCAAAUUUGAAAUCUUAAAGGGUUUCCCUUUACGAAUUGUAGUUUAAAGAAGUGUUUUCUGUUGAGGUUUUGGUAAAAGUUCUUUGGAAUAGGACAUCAUAGAGGGUGAGAAUCCCGUAUUUGACCUUUACUUUCAACUUUGUGAUACACUUUCAAAGAGUCGGAUUGUUUGGGAAUGCAGUCCAAAAUGGGUGGUAAAUUUCAUCUAAAGCUAAAUAUUGGCGAGAGACCGAUAGCGAACAAGUACCGUGAGGGAAAGAUGAAAGGAACUUUGAAAAGAGAGUUAAACAGUACGUGAAAUUGUCAAAAGGGAAGCGUUUGACACCAGUGUUGUUUUUCUGAAAAUCAAUUAAAGAACUGUUUAUGCUAAGUUGUUUAGACUUUAUCAGCUAACUGUUUAGUUUUGAGCUUUUCUUUAAUGCACUUUUCAGUUAACAAGUCAACAUCAAUUUCUUUUGCUGUAAAAAAGCUUGAGGAAGGUGGCUUGAGAUUCGUCUUAAGUGUUUAUAGCCUCUUGCCUAUGCAGUCGGAGAGAUUGAGGUCUGCAGCGUAGAUCCUUCGGGGCUAAAUGCAUUUGUGCUAAGUUAUAGCAUUUUAUAGACAACUUGUUGACUAUGAUUUGUCUUGUAGCUUACUCGCUUAUGUUAUUUUACCUACGCUUAGGAUGUUGAUCUACAGAGCGAGAGU
Molecule: ribosomal RNA, 774 nt
Filed under: uncultured Neocallimastigales
Lineage: Eukaryota; Fungi; Neocallimastigomycota; Neocallimastigomycetes; Neocallimastigales
Description: partial large subunit ribosomal RNA
Rfam family: Eukaryotic large subunit ribosomal RNA
Source: RNAcentral